AGUCGAACGCAGUAGCAAUACUGAGUGGCAGACGGGUGAGUAACAUGUGGGAAUCUGCCUUUUGGCCUGGAAUAACACGAGGAAACUUGUGCUAAUACCGGAUAAGUCUUUACGGGGAAAGUUUUAAUGCCAAAAGAUGAGCCCGCAUUUGAUUAGCUAGUUGGUAAGGUAAAAGCUUACCAAGGCGACAAUCAAUAGCUGAUUUGAGAGGAUGAUCAGCCACACUGGGACUGAGAUACGGCCCAGACUCC
RNAcentral lists this ribosomal RNA (251 nucleotides) under uncultured bacterium. Its description in RNAcentral is "partial 16S ribosomal RNA". It matches the Rfam family "Bacterial small subunit ribosomal RNA", at positions 60 to 339 of the family's 1533-position model. The record is from RNAcentral.